Molecule: transfer RNA, 92 nt
Filed under: Deltaproteobacteria bacterium HGW-Deltaproteobacteria-15
Lineage: Bacteria; Deltaproteobacteria
Also listed under: 2 other names
Description: tRNA-Ser
Rfam family: tRNA
About the family: Transfer RNA (tRNA) molecules are approximately 80 nucleotides in length.
Source: RNAcentral
GGAGGGAUGUCCGAGUGGUUUAAGGAGGCGGUCUUGAAAACCGUUGUCCCGUUUCCGCGGGACCGUGGGUUCGAAUCCUACUCCCUCCGCCA